This 373-nucleotide ribosomal RNA is filed under the name uncultured organism. Its description in RNAcentral is "partial 16S ribosomal RNA". It matches the Rfam family "Bacterial small subunit ribosomal RNA", at positions 527 to 896 of the family's 1533-position model. The record is from RNAcentral.
GUAGGUGGCAAGCGUUGUCCGGAAUUAUUGGGCGUAAAGCGCGCGCAGGCGGUUCUUUAAGUCUGAUGUGAAAGCCAACGGCUCAACCGUGGAGGGUCAUUGGAAACUGGAGAACUUGAGUACAGAAGAGGAAAGCGGAAUUCCACGUGUAGCGGUGAAAUGCGUAGAGAUGUGGAGGAACACCAGUGGCGAAGGCGGCUUUCUGGUCUGUAACUGACGCUGAGGCGCGAAAGCGUGGGGAGCAAACAGGAUUAGAUACCCUGGUAGUCCACGCCGUAAACGAUGAGUGCUAAGUGUUAGGGGGGUUUCCGCCCCCCUUAGUGCUGCAGCUAACGCAUUAAGCACUCCGCCUGGGAGUACGGCCGCAAGGCUG